This 259-nucleotide ribosomal RNA is filed under the name uncultured bacterium. RNAcentral describes it as "partial 16S ribosomal RNA". It matches the Rfam family "Bacterial small subunit ribosomal RNA", at positions 773 to 1027 of the family's 1533-position model. The record is from RNAcentral.
GUGGAUUAGAUACCCUGGUAGUCCUGGCCCUAAACGGUGCGCGUUUGCUGUAAGUGGAUUCGACCCCACUUGUGGCGUAGUUAACACGUUAAACGCGCCGCCUGGGAAGUACGGCCGCAAGGUUAAAACUCAAAGAAAUUGACGGGGGCCUGCACAAGCGGUGGAGUAUGUGGCUUAAUUCGAUGCAACGCGAAGAACCUUACCUGGCCUUGACAUGCAUAUAGUAGAAAGGUGAAAGCCUGACGAGGUAGCAAUACCA